GAUGAACGCUGGCGGCGUGCCUAAUACAUGCAAGUCGAGCGAACAGAUGAGGAGCUUGCUCCUCUGACGUUAGCGGCGGACGGGUGAGUAACACGUGGAUAACCUACCUAUAAGACUGGGAUAACUUCGGGAAACCGGAGCUAAUACCGGAUAAUAUAUUGAACCGCAUGGUUCAAUAGUGAAAGACGGUUUUGCUGUCACUUAUAGAUGGAUCCGCGCCGCAUUAGCUAGUUGGUAAGGUAACGGCUUACCAAGGCAACGAUGCGUAGCCGACCUGAGAGGGUGAUCGGCAACACUGGAACUGAGACACGGUCCAGACGCCUACGGGAGGCAGCAGUAGGGAAUCUUCCGCAAUGGGCGAAAGCAUGACGGAGCAACGCCGCGUGAGUGAUGAAGGUCUUCGGAUCGUAAAACUCUGUUAUUAGGGAAGAACAAAUGUGUAAGUAACUAUGCACGUCGUGACGGUACCUAAUCAGAAAGCCACGGCUAACUACGUG
This 497-nucleotide ribosomal RNA is filed under the name uncultured bacterium. RNAcentral's name for it is "partial 16S ribosomal RNA". It matches the Rfam family "Bacterial small subunit ribosomal RNA", at positions 28 to 507 of the family's 1533-position model. The record is from RNAcentral.